This 84-nucleotide transfer RNA is filed under the name Ruminococcus sp. AM54-1NS. RNAcentral describes it as "tRNA-Leu". It matches the Rfam family "tRNA". From Rfam's summary of the family: Transfer RNA (tRNA) molecules are approximately 80 nucleotides in length. Their secondary structure includes four short double-helical elements and three loops (D, anti-codon, and T loops). Further hydrogen bonds mediate the characteristic L-shaped molecular structure. tRNAs have two regions of fundamental functional importance: the anti-codon, which is responsible for specific mRNA codon recognition, and the 3' end, to which the tRNAs corresponding amino acid is attached (by aminoacyl-tRNA synthetases). tRNAs cope with the degeneracy of the genetic code in two manners: having more than one tRNA (with a specific anti-codon) for a particular amino acid; and 'wobble' base-pairing, i.e. permitting non-standard base-pairing at the 3rd anti-codon position. Lineage: Bacteria; Bacillati; Bacillota; Clostridia; Eubacteriales; Oscillospiraceae. The record is from RNAcentral.
GUCACUGUGGUGGAAUAGGUAUACACAAGGAACUUAAAAUCCUCGGAAAAAUCCAUGCGAGUUCGAGUCUCGUCAGUGACACCA